RNAcentral lists this ribosomal RNA (244 nucleotides) under uncultured bacterium. RNAcentral describes it as "partial 16S ribosomal RNA". It matches the Rfam family "Bacterial small subunit ribosomal RNA", at positions 335 to 570 of the family's 1533-position model. The record is from RNAcentral.
ACUCCUACGGGAGGCAGCAGUGAGGAAUCUUGCGCAAUGGGGGAAACCCUGACGCAGCAACGCCGCGUGAGUGAAGAAGGCCUUCGGGUCGUAAAGCUCUGUCUAGCGGGAAGAACCUCCCCACGGUAAAUAGCCGCGGGGACUGACGGUACCGCUGAAGGAAGCACCGGCUAACUCCGUGCCAGCAGCCGCGGUAAUACGGAGGGUGCAAGCGUUAUUCGGAAUCAUUGGGUGUAAAGCGCGU